This 300-nucleotide unclassified non-coding RNA is filed under the name uncultured Periconia. RNAcentral's name for it is "sequence contains 5.8S rRNA gene, ITS2". The stretch from base 1 to 79 matches the Rfam family "5.8S ribosomal RNA", at positions 76 to 154 of the family's 154-position model. Lineage: Eukaryota; Fungi; Ascomycota; Sordariomycetes; Microascales; Halosphaeriaceae. The record is from RNAcentral.
AGAGACAGGUGAAUCAUCGAAUCUUUGAACGCACAUUGCGGCCAUAGGUAUUCCUUCGGCCAUGCCUGUUCGAGCGUCAUUUACACCCUCAAGCCUAGCUUGGUGUUGGGCGUCUGUCCCGCCGUUCUCGCGCGCGGACUCGCCUCAAAGUCAUUGGCGGCGGUCGUGCCGGCCCCCUCGCGCAGCACAUUUGCGCUUCUCGGAGGCCCGGCGGAUCCGCGCUCCAGCAAGACCUUUCACGACUUGACCUCGGAUCAGGUAGGGAUACCCGCUGAACUUAAGCAUAUCAAUAAGCGGAGG